Molecule: unclassified non-coding RNA, 235 nt
Filed under: Melitaea cinxia (Glanville fritillary)
Lineage: Eukaryota; Metazoa; Arthropoda; Insecta; Lepidoptera; Nymphalidae
Description: misc RNA ENSMCXG00005012441.1
Source: RNAcentral
AUAGAAAAUUAACAUAAACAUGAGAUUUUUAACUUUGAAAUAAAUUUUCAUAAGAUUUUUAGUAGUUAUAAAUAAAUAAAUAAUAAAGAAAUAUCUACAAAAUACACACACGGUCGUCUGUUCCUAAAGCCGCAAACAAGCUUACGACAUACCGUAACUUAUAGACGCCUGCGAAACCAGAAUGAAUGCAAACUCCGACCCUACACAGGAACACAACACUAUUGACAGCAGUAUU